CAGUCGCCGCGGUAAUACGUAGGGUGCAAGCGUUAAUCGGAAUUACUGGGCGUAAAGCGUGCGCAGGCGGUUUUGUAAGACAGAGGUGAAAUCCCCGGGCUCAACCUGGGAACUGCCUUUGUGACUGCAAGGCUAGAGUACGGCAGAGGGGGAUGGAAUUCCGCGUGUAGCAGUGAAAUGCGUAGAUAUGCGGAGGAACACCGAUGGCGAAGGCAAUCCCCUGGGCCUGUACUGACGCUCAUGCACGAAAGCGUGGGGAGCAAACAGGAUUAGAUACCCCGGUAGUCCCUGUCUCUUAUAU
This 301-nucleotide ribosomal RNA is filed under the name uncultured bacterium. RNAcentral describes it as "partial 16S ribosomal RNA". It matches the Rfam family "Bacterial small subunit ribosomal RNA", at positions 509 to 809 of the family's 1533-position model. The record is from RNAcentral.